RNAcentral lists this ribosomal RNA (425 nucleotides) under uncultured bacterium. RNAcentral describes it as "partial 16S ribosomal RNA". It matches the Rfam family "Bacterial small subunit ribosomal RNA", at positions 354 to 796 of the family's 1533-position model. The record is from RNAcentral.
GUGGGGAAUCUUGCGCAAUGGGCGAAAGCCUGACGCAGCCAUGCCGCGUGAAUGAUGAAGGUCUUAGGAUUGUAAAAUUCUUUCACCGGGGACGAUAAUGACGGUACCCGGAGAAGAAGCUCCGGCUAACUUCGUGCCAGCAGCCGCGGUAAUACGAAGGGGGCUAGCGUUGCUCGGAAUUACUGGGCGUAAAGGGCGCGUAGGCGGACAGCUUAGUCAGAGGUGAAAGCCCAGGGCUCAACCUUGGAAUUGACUUUGAUACUGGCUGUCUUGAGUUUGGGAGAGGUGAGUGGAACUCCGAGUGUAGAGGUGAAAUUCGUAGAUAUUCGGAAGAACACCAGUGGCGAAGGCGACUCACUGGCCCAAUACUGACGCUGAGGCGCGAAAGCGUGGGGAGCAAACAGGAUUAGAAACCCGAGUAGUCC